This 564-nucleotide ribosomal RNA is filed under the name Triticum aestivum (bread wheat). RNAcentral's name for it is "partial small subunit ribosomal RNA". The record is from RNAcentral. Lineage: Eukaryota; Viridiplantae; Streptophyta; Magnoliopsida; Poales; Poaceae.
AUGGGAAAAAGUCCGAAACAAAAGUUGCUAAGAGCCCUAGGGAAAUUGCCUGUCUGCUCAACUGUACUUGCCCAACCUGAGGCCACAAGUGUUCCAGAAGCAUUAGAAGCAACUGGCCAGGGGAACACUUUCCAUUUCUCUCAUGUGGAGGAGAGGUACCAUGAAUUCAUGUGUGUUAGUGGGAAGACAACCAAUGCACUAGAAAUCAAUGUUCUAGAUGUGAGUGAGAUGUUUGCAAGCGUAAGGGUAAUUGAAUAUGGCAAAUACUUUGUCACGGUCAGGGAGCUCGCAAACUCAAUGAAGAAGGAAGUUUUUUUCUUGAGCCAUGUAAUGGAAGUUGGUAUACAGAAUAUAAUGAUGAACUUGCCACCAGACUCAAAGAAGCUCGUGAUGCCCAUCAGGUUCUCGGUUCAGAUGCUAAAAAUGGAAUUGAACGGCAAGGAGCUCAUUUCCCGGUUCAAGAAGUCGAAUCGCUUGGACCGUAAAGACAUGAUUAUGUUCCCAGUGUUAGAGAACAUCGACAAGACAAAACCUAAAACAGGCAAUCAUUACUGGAUUUUUUAA